GGGGGAUAUUGCGCAAUGGGGGAAACCCUGACGCAGCAACGCCGCGUGAAGGAUGAAGGUUUUCGGAUUGUAAACUUCUUUUAUUUAGGACGAAGAAUGACGGUACUAAAUGAAUAAGCUCCGGCUAACUACGUGCCAGCAGCCGCGGUAAUACGUAGGGAGCAAGCGUUAUCCGGAUUUACUGGGUGUAAAGGGUGCGUAGGUGGCAGAUCAAGUCUGGAGUAAAAGGUAUGGGCUCAACCCAUGCACUGCAUUUGAAACUAUUGAGCUUGAGUGAAGUAGAGGUAGGCGGAAUUCCCUGUGUAGCGGUGAAAUGCGUAGAGAUAGGGAGGAACACCAGUGGCGAAGGCGGCCUACUGGGCUUUAACUGACGCUGAGGCACGAAAGCGUGGGUAGCAAACAGGAUUAGAUACCCUGGUAGUCCACGCUGUAAACGAUGAUUACUAGGUGUGGGGGGUCUGACCCCUUCCGUGCCGGAGUUAACACAAUAAGUAAUCCACCUGGGGAGUACGACCGCAAGGUUGAAACUCAAAGGAAUUGACGGGGGCCCGCACAAGCAGUGGAGUAUGUGGUUUAAUUCGAAGCAACGCGAAGAACCUUACCAGGUCUUGACAUCGAGUGACGAAUCUAGAGAUAGAUUUUUCCUUCGGGACACAAAGACAGGUGGUGCAUGGUUGUCGUCAGCUCGUGUCGUGAGAUGUUGGGUUAAGUCCCGCAACGAGCGCAACCCUUGCUAUUAGUUGCUACGCAAGAGCACUCUAAUAGGACUGCCGGUGAUAAACCGGAGGAAGGUGGGGAUGACGUCAAAUCAUCAUGCCCCUUAUGGCCUGGGCUACACACGUACUACAAUGGAUGUAAACAGAGGGAAGCAAAAUAGCGAUAUGGAGCAAACCCCUAAAAGCAUUCUCAGUUCAGAUUGCAGGCUGCAAUUCGCCUGUAUGAAGUUGGAAUUGCUAGUAAUCGCGGAUCAGCAUGCCGCGGUGAAUACGUUCCCG
RNAcentral lists this ribosomal RNA (995 nucleotides) under uncultured bacterium. Its description in RNAcentral is "bacterial SSU rRNA". It matches the Rfam family "Bacterial small subunit ribosomal RNA", at positions 356 to 1376 of the family's 1533-position model. The record is from RNAcentral.